RNAcentral lists this ribosomal RNA (735 nucleotides) under Promicromonospora sp. Its description in RNAcentral is "bacterial SSU rRNA". It matches the Rfam family "Bacterial small subunit ribosomal RNA", at positions 73 to 823 of the family's 1533-position model. Lineage: Bacteria; Bacillati; Actinomycetota; Actinomycetes; Micrococcales; Promicromonosporaceae. The record is from RNAcentral.
GCUCAGCUUGCUGGGUGGAUCAGUGGCGAACGGGUGAGUAACACGUGAGCAACCUGCCCCUCACUUCGGGAUAAGCCUUGGAAACGGGGUCUAAUACCGGAUAUGAGCACUUACCGCAUGGUGGGUGUUGGAAAGUUUUUCGGUGGGGGAUGGGCUCGCGGCCUAUCAGCUUGUUGGUGGGGUAAUGGCCUACCAAGGCGUCGACGGGUAGCCGGCCUGAGAGGGCGACCGGCCACACUGGGACUGAGACACGGCCCAGACUCCUACGGGAGGCAGCAGUGGGGAAUAUUGCACAAUGGGCGAAAGCCUGAUGCAGCGACGCCACGUGAGGGAUGACGGCCUUCGGGUUGUAAACCUCUUUCAGCAGGGAAGAAGCGCAAGUGACGGUACCUGCAGAAGAAGCGCCGGCUAACUACGUGCCAGCAGCCGCGGUAAUACGUAGGGCGCAAGCGUUGUCCGGAAUUAUUGGGCGUAAAGAGCUCGUAGGCGGUCUGUCGCGUCUGGUGUGAAAUCCCAUGGCUCAACCAUGGGCUUGCAUCGGGUACGGGCAGACUAGAGUGCUGUAGGGGAGACUGGAAUUCCUGGUGUAGCGGUGGAAUGCGCAGAUAUCAGGAGGAACACCGAUGGCGAAGGCAGGUCUCUGGGCAGUUACUGACGCUGAGGAGCGAAAGCAUGGGGAGCGAACAGGAUUAGAUACCCUGGUAGUCCAUGCCGUAAACGUUGGGCACUAGGUGU